This 33-nucleotide unclassified non-coding RNA is filed under the name Sorangium cellulosum So ce56. RNAcentral describes it as "sce_Cardiovirus_CRE_4". Lineage: Bacteria; Pseudomonadati; Myxococcota; Polyangiales; Polyangiaceae. The record is from RNAcentral.
GCGGUAAACGGUGGAUUGGGUCGUUAUGACGAC